CCUACGGGUGGCUGCAGUGGGGAAUAUUGGACAAUGGGCGAAAGCCUGAUCCAGCCAUGCCGCGUGUGUGAAGAAGGCCUUCGGGUUGUAAAGCACUUUCAGUGGGGAAGAAAGCCUUGGGGCUAAUACCCUCGAGGAAGGACAUCACCCACAGAAGAAGCACCGGCUAACUCCGUGCCAGCAGCCGCGGUAAUACGGAGGGUGCGAGCGUUAAUCGGAAUUACUGGGCGUAAAGCGCGCGUAGGCGGUCUGAUAAGCCGGUUGUGAAAGCCCCGGGCUCAACCUGGGAACGGCAUCCGGAACUGUCAGGCUAGAGUGCAGGAGAGGAAGGUAGAAUUCCCGGUGUAGCGGUGAAAUGCGUAGAGAUCGGGAGGAAUACCAGUGGCGAAGGCGGGCUUCUGGACUGACACUGACGCUGAGGUGCGAAAGCGUGGGUAGCAAACAGGAUUAGAUACCCGGGUAGUC
This 465-nucleotide ribosomal RNA is filed under the name Vreelandella stevensii. RNAcentral's name for it is "partial 16S ribosomal RNA". It matches the Rfam family "Bacterial small subunit ribosomal RNA", at positions 338 to 795 of the family's 1533-position model. Lineage: Bacteria; Pseudomonadati; Pseudomonadota; Gammaproteobacteria; Oceanospirillales; Halomonadaceae. The record is from RNAcentral.